Molecule: ribosomal RNA, 829 nt
Filed under: uncultured marine microorganism
Description: bacterial SSU rRNA
Rfam family: Bacterial small subunit ribosomal RNA
Source: RNAcentral
AGAGUUUGAUCAUGGCUCAGGAUGAACGCUGGCGGUAUGCCUAACACAUGCAAGUCGAACGAUGUCUUCGGACAUAGUGGCGGACGGGUGAGUAACGCGUGAGAAUCUGCCUCUAGGAUGGGGAUAACGGUUGGAAACGACCGCUAACACCCAAUAUGCCGUAAGGUGAAAAAUUUAUUGCCUGGAGAGGAGCUCGCGUCUGAUUAGCUAGUUGGUGGGGUAAGAGCUCACCAAGGCCUCGAUCAGUAGCUGGUCUGAGAGGAUGAGCAGCCACACUGGGACUGAGACACGGCCCAGACUCCUACGGGAGGCAGCAGUGGGGAAUUUUCCGCAAUGGGCGAAAGCCUGACGGAGCAAUACCGCGUGAGGGAGGAAUGCCUUUGGGUUGUAAACCUCUUUUCUCAGGGAAGAAGAUCUGACGGUACCUGAGGAAUAAGUAUCGGCUAACUCCGUGCCAGCAGCCGCGGUAAUACGGAGGAUGCAAGCGUUAUCCGGAAUCAUUGGGCGUAAAGCGUCCGCAGGUGGUUUCCAAAGUCUGCUGUUAAAGACUGGAGCUCAACUCCGGAACGGCGGUGGAAACUUGGAAACUAGAGUUCGGUAGGGGUAGCAGGAAUUCCCAGUGUAGCGGUGAAAUGCGUAGAUAUUGGGAAGAACAUCGGUGGCGAAGGCGUGCUACUGGACCGUAACUGACACUCAGGGACGAAAGCUAGGGGAGCGAAAGGGAUUAGAUACCCCUGUAGUCCUAGCUGUAAACGAUGGAAACUAGGUGUGGCUUGUAUCGACCCGAGCCGUGCCGUAGCUAACGCGUUAAGUUUCCCGCCUGGGGAGU